This is a non-coding RNA of Brassica napus (rape), 85 nucleotides long. Lineage: Eukaryota; Viridiplantae; Streptophyta; Magnoliopsida; Brassicales; Brassicaceae. The record is from Rfam.
AUAUGCCUGGCUCCCUGUAUGCCAUACACUAAGUUCAUCGAUCUUCGGCGACCUCCGUGGAUGGCGUAUGAGGAGCCAAGCAUAA